GUACCGGUACCAGUAUAAAAUGUACGGUACCGGUACUGUUUCUAGAUUAUUAAAACUGUUAGUGAGGAAAUAGUAGUAGUGAUCACAAAAUUCAGGACUUAAGAUAAGGAAAAUUCUAUCUAAAUCCUGGAAUCCGCUGAAAAUACAUUUCCCUGUGUUAUCUGUGAUGAAAAUUUUUCAUCUGGGUCCAGUUUGGAAAAGCAUAUGUUUUUGUACAAUCACGAUGAAAAUGAUUAUGGAUCUGGAGAUUUAAACAAAUAUGUAACAAGCAACAUUGUGGAAACUCUUCGGCCUAAAUAAACGAUCAUCUAGUUUACAAGAUCAUAUACUAACUCAUACUAAAG
Molecule: non-coding RNA, 344 nt
Organism: Styela clava
Lineage: Eukaryota; Metazoa; Chordata; Ascidiacea; Stolidobranchia; Styelidae
Source: RefSeq, a predicted model, not a curated record